RNAcentral lists this small RNA (87 nucleotides) under uncultured Erwinia sp. RNAcentral's name for it is "TrxA 5' UTR thermometer". It matches the Rfam family "TrxA 5' UTR thermometer". Rfam says of the family: Involved in protection against oxidative stress. The record is from RNAcentral. Lineage: Bacteria; Pseudomonadati; Pseudomonadota; Gammaproteobacteria; Enterobacterales; Erwiniaceae.
AACCUGAUGCUGCUUAAUGCUACAUCAUUAAGGUUAAAGAUAAUCUCCUGGAGUAAACAUGAGCGAUAAAAUUAUUCACCUGACUGA